UACCCUCACCGGUCGUGCAAGG
Molecule: microRNA, 22 nt
Filed under: Mesocestoides corti
Lineage: Eukaryota; Metazoa; Platyhelminthes; Cestoda; Cyclophyllidea; Mesocestoididae
Description: mco-miR-12068-3p
Source: miRBase by way of RNAcentral